AGGUGGGAAGAGUAUUUACCCGCUAAUCUCUUUAUUCCCUCGCCUGACAAAAUAUCUGCAUUCCUGGGCGGCCUCAAGAAAUGAACUACAGACAUCUAUUCCCUUUGUGAUACCUCCUUGGAAUCAAAGUGUGGAGUGUAACAAUGUGCCUCCACACACUCACACUAGUUGAUGCUUCAUCUUGGUGAAAUCAAGUUUUUGGAAUUACCUUUCCUAAGAUCAUUCUAUUCACAGAGAAGGAGCUUAAUGAAACUAUGGUGGAUGUAUUCUAGACAGAAGAAGGAUUAAACCAAGAUAAAAACAAUGUGAAUGAGGAAAGUGGGAGUAACAGGGAUUCCAAGAGAAAGAAAUAUGUCUUAACCUUAAAGAAUCAAGGACUCCAGGGAUCUUUAAGUUCUGGUAGUGAGGAGAGUCAAAAAGGUAUAUCUCACCAAAGAGCCAGUGAAAAGAUGCUGUGAGAAUGGGUAGCCAUCGAAAGCAAUUCUGUUCAUCAGACAAGAGUUCUUGCUAUUUACACCACAUCUGCAGUGACUUCCUCCACUGAAGUAUUGAACCUUUAAAGUCAUCCAUGAAGGUUGAAAUCAACUUCUUCCAAACUCCUCAUAGGAUUGAUAUUUUGACCUCCUCCCAUAAACGACAAAUUUUCUGAAUGUCAUCUAAAAUGGCAAUUUUUUUCCAGAAGGUUUUCAACUUUGCCCAGAUCCAUUAGAGGAAUCACUGUAGCAGUUAUAUCCUUAAUAAAUGUAUUUGUAAAAUAAUAAUACUUGAAAGUCAAAAUUACUCCUUAACUGUGGGCUACAGGAUAGAUGUUGUGUUAGCAGUCAUGAAAAAAACAUUAAUCUCCUUGAACAUCUUCAUCAGAGCUCUUGGGUAACCAGGUGCAUUGUCAGUGACCAGGAAUAUUUUGAAAGGAAUUUCAAAAGGUCUCAACAGUAAGGCUUAAAAUAUUCAAUAAACCAUACUGUAAACAGAUGUGUUGUCAUCUAGGCUUUGUUAUUUCAUUUCUAGAACAAAUGCAGAGUAUAUUUAGCAUAAUUCUUAAGGACCCCAGUAUUUUCAGAAGGGCUAAUGUGUAUCGUCUUCAUCUUAAAGCCACCAACUGUAUUAGCUCCUAAAAAGAGAGUCAGCCUGUUCUUUGAAGCUUUGAAGCUAGGCAUUGACUUCUUCUCUCUAGCUACAAAAGUUCUAGAGGGCAUCUUCUUCCAAUAGAAGGCAUUUUGGUCUACAUUAGAAAUCUGUUGUUUAGUGUAGCCAUGUUCAUCAAUUAUCUUAGGCAGGAGAACUUCAGCUGGAGAACUUGCUGUAGCUUCUUGCACUUGCUUCACUUGCACUUUUAGGUUGGAGACGGUUUUAUAAAGAUAAUUUAUUUUCUUAAAUCCCAUGAAUCAACACCUACUAGCUUUAAACUUUUCUCUUCAGCUUCCUCACCACUCUCAGACUUCAUAGAAUUGAAGAGGUUAAGGCCUUGUUCUGGAUUAAGCUUUGGCUUAAGGAAAUGUUGUGGCUGAUUUGAUCAUUUUUAUUCAGACCACUCAAAAUUUCUCCAUUAAGCCAUAGGCUGUUUUGCUUUCUUAUAAUUUGUGUGUUCACUGGAGUCACACUUUUAUUUUUUAGAGACAAGUUCUUGCUCUAUUGCCCAGGCUGCAGUGCAGUGACACAAUCAUAGCUCACUGCAACCUUGAACUCCUGGGCUCAAGUGAUCCUCCUGCCUCAGCCUCCCAGGUAGCUGGGACUAUAGACAUGCACCACCAUACUUGGCUUAUUUUUUUUAAAUAAGUCUUCACUAUGUUGCCCAGGCUGGUCUUGAACUCCUGGUCUCAAGGAAUUUCCCCACCUUAGCCUCCCAAAACUCUAGGAUUACAGGCAUAAGCCACCACACCUGUCCUGGAGUAGCACUUUUAAUUUCCAUCAAGAACUUUUCCCUUGCAUCCACAACUUGGCUACUUGUUGCAAGAGGCCUAGCUUUCAGCCUAUCCUGACUUUCAACAUGCCUUCCUCACUAAGCUUAGUCAUUUCUAGCUUUUGAUUUAAAGUGAGAGCCAUGUGGCUCUUCCUUUCACUUGAACACUUCGAGUCCAUUGUAGAGCUAUUAAUUGCCCUAAUUUUUUUAUUGUUGUUUUAAUAUUUGCUACUACCACCAAGAUCUGCGCCUGCAGUGGCUCCACCCAGGCCCAUGUUCUAUUAAGGGACAUUGCAAUGGCCCUUCUACUCAUCUUGGCAUAGUGUCUUUAGGCUUGGGAGAUCUGAGCACUGCUCUGUCCUUCCUGCUCUAGUCCCUCUACUAGCAAUGGCUGCAUAUUGGCUCAACUCCUCAGCACCAUCCAUUUUCAGGGACAGUUGAGUAGUCAGUUGAGUUGUUAUACACUCCUUAGUGGAUUCUGACUUCCAUGGUCACUGUACUGUUGUAUAAUCAACUAUCCUAAUUUCAACAUUGUUGUGUCUCAGGGAAUAGGGAGGCCUGAAGUUAAGGAGAGACAUGGAGCAAUGAUCAAUCAGUUGAGCAAUCAAAACACACACAACAAUUAUCAAUGAAGUUUACUGUCUUAUAUGGGCAUGUUUUCUGGUGCCACAAAACAAUUACAAUAGUAACAUCAAAGGUCACUGAUCACAAAUCACCGUAACAGAUAUAAUAAUAGUGGAAGUUUGAAAUAUUGCAAGAAUUACCAAAAUGUGUCACAAAGACCUGAUGGACUUGCUAGAGGCAAGGCUGCCAAAAACUUUCAAUUUGUUAAAUAUGCAAAAUCUGCAUGGUAAAAUAAAGCAUAGCACAAUAAAAAGAAAUAUGCAUGUAUACACUAUUUAUAAUGUAUAUCCCUACAUAUAAUAUAUAUCAAUAUAUAAUAAAUGUACGUAUUGUUACAUAUUUGCAAAUAUAUAUGGUGAAAUAUAUCCAUGAGUUGCCAAAUCUGUUUUCACAACAUUAUGAACCUUCAAAAACAUGCCCAGCAAGGAGUCAUGAUGGCUGUGCAUACCCACGAACAGGGUUGAUUAGAAACAACUGUUUCAUUUACACAACACUGGGUCAUAUGACAAAUAAAUAACAGCAACCUGCCUAUUUUUAAAAUUUUGACAUCUUGCUUCUCAUGAAUUUUUUUAAUUUUUGAUUUUUUAAAUUCAUUGCCUUAACUAUUAUUUAGCCUGAUUACUGAGUUUUUGGCACCACUUUUAAAAAAAUAACUCAUUUAUUUUGAAAUGAUUUUCAUUGUAUAUAUUUAUGGGGUACAACAUGACUUUUUCAUAUAUGUAUACAUAAUGGAACAAUUAAUCAAAGUAAAUAACAUAUCUUCACCUCAUAAACAUCUUUUCUGUGGUUAGAACAUUUAAAAUCUACUUUCUUAGCACUUUUCAAGUAUGUAGCACAUUAUUAUUAACUAUAGUCACUCUGCUGUAUAACAAAAUAAAUGUCCAGAACUUAAUCAUCUUGUUUAACUGAAUCUUUCUAUAUUUUGACAAACAUCUGUCCUUGUUCCCAGCCUAUGAAAAGAAUACCCUACUCUUUUGAGUUCAACUUUUUCAGAUUCUACAUAAAAGUGAGAUCAUACAGUAUUUUUUUCUGUGCCUAGCUUAUUUUACUUAGCAUAAUAUCCUGCAGAUACAUCCAUAGUAUCUCAAAUAGCAAGAUACCCUUUUUUCUAAGGCUGAAUCUUAUUCCAUUGUGUGUAUCCGUCCCAUUUUCUUUAUCCAUUCAUCCAUCAAGAGAUAUUAUUUUAUUGUCAUAUCUUGGCUAUGAAUAAUAGUUCGCUAUUAAGAAUAAUGCUGCAAUGAACAUGAGGCUGUAGAUACCUCUGUGACAUAACUGAUUUCAUUUCCUUUGGAUAUACACACAGAAGUGGAAUUGCUGGAUUAUGUGGUAGUUUUAUUUUUAAUUUUUGAGAAACCUCCAUACUACUUUUCAUAAUGGCUAUACUAAUUUACAUUCCCACAAACAGUGUGCAAGGGUUCCCUUUUCUCUACAUAUUUGCCAAUAUUUGUCUUUUGUAUUUUAAUAAAUGCUAUUCUCACAGGUGUGAAGUGAUAGCUCAUUCACACCUGUGAAUUUGCAUUCCCCUGAUGAUUAGUGAUGUGAAAUAUUUUUUUUUUUGUAUACUUAUUGGCCUUUUGAUUCUCUUCUUUUGAAAAAUAUUUAUUAAAGUUCUGUGCCCAUUUUUUAAUCAGUUUGUUUGUUUUCUUGCAUAGAGUUGAGUUCCUUAUAUAUUUUUUAAAUUAACCCUUUAUCAAAUAUAUUGUUGGUAUAGUUUGAAUAUUUGUCCCCACCCAAAUUUCAUGUUGAAAUGUAAUCCCAGUGUUGGAGUUGGACCCUGGUAGCAGGUGUUUGGAUCAUUGGGGAGGAUCCCUCAUGAAUGGCUUGGGCCGUCUCUUUGGUGAUAAGUGAGUUCUGGCUCUGAGUUCACAUAAGAUCUGGUCAUUUACAACUGUACAACAGCUCCUGGCUACUCUUUCUCUCACUUGCCACUGCCGUAUGGUGUUCCUACUCCCCCUUUGCCUUCCACCAUGAUUGUAAGCUUCCUGAAGCCUCCCCAGAGGCUGAGCAGAUACCAGCACCAGGCUUCCUGUAAAGCCUGCAGAACUGUGAGCCAAUUAAAUCCUUUUUCUUUAUAAAUUACCCAGUCUCAGACAUUUCUUUAGAUCAAUGUGAGUGAGCUAAUACAAUGGUUUACAAAUACUUUCUCUUGUUAAACAGGUUGUCUCAUGAAUAGCUUGUUGAAUGUUUCCUUUGGUGUGCAGAAGCUCUUUAGUUUGAUGUAAUCCCAUUGCUUUAUUUUUCCUUUUGCUGUCUGUGCUUUUGUGAUAAUAUUCAAUAAAUCUUUGCUAAUACCAAUAUCAUGGAGCUUUUCCUCUAGUUUUUG
This 4847-nucleotide long non-coding RNA is filed under the name Homo sapiens (human). RNAcentral describes it as "HSALNT0191588". Lineage: Eukaryota; Metazoa; Chordata; Mammalia; Primates; Hominidae. The record is from RNAcentral.